Molecule: non-coding RNA, 29 nt
Filed under: Rattus norvegicus (Norway rat)
Lineage: Eukaryota; Metazoa; Chordata; Mammalia; Rodentia; Muridae
Source: RNAcentral
UGGGUUCUAAGUAGUCAUGGGUCCUUGCC